RNAcentral lists this ribosomal RNA (253 nucleotides) under uncultured bacterium. RNAcentral's name for it is "partial 16S ribosomal RNA". It matches the Rfam family "Bacterial small subunit ribosomal RNA", at positions 524 to 776 of the family's 1533-position model. The record is from RNAcentral.
UACGAAGGACCCGAGCGUUAUCCGGAUUUACUGGGUUUAAAGGGUGCGUAGGUGGACCUAUAAGUCAGUGGUGAAAGCCUCCCGCUUAACGGGAGAACUGCCAUUGAUACUGUUGGUCUUGAGUAUAGUUGAGGUAGGCGGAAUAUGUCAUGUAGUGGUGAAAUACUUAGAUAUGACAUAGAACACCGAUUGCGAAGGCAGCUUGCUAAGCUAUAACUGACACUGAUGCACGAAAGCGUGGGGAGCAAACAGG